Molecule: long non-coding RNA, 802 nt
Organism: Octodon degus (degu)
Lineage: Eukaryota; Metazoa; Chordata; Mammalia; Rodentia; Octodontidae
Exons: 4
Source: RefSeq, a predicted model, not a curated record
AGGGACGGACCUGCCGGAGCCAGGGCUGCCCCAGCUGCAGUGCUGCCGCGGUCGCCGUCGCUGUCAGCGCCUUCUGAAGAGCGACAGAGCCGCAGAAGCCGGAGGUGCAGCGAAUCCCGCACCCGUUUCCAAACAGACGCCUCCGCGAUCCCCCAGCGAGUGGCCACCUCUCUCAGAUCUCAGGUAACCAUUCAUGAGCCCGAGGCUGUGAGAAAUGCUUGCUGUGCACUGGGGAACUCUCACCGGAUUUUCUGAAGCAGUCCCAGAAAUACAUUUCUCAGAUUGAGUCAGCAUUAUCAGCUUACCUGACAAAAGUAUUAACAUAUUCAUUAACAACGUCGAAAGUAGCCUACUUUAAGAGAAAAUAUGCAGAAGAAGAAGAUUUACAUCAGGAUUACCAUGGGUAUUUUCCAAAACACCUGAUAUUACCUGAAGACAGGACUUGCAUCCUCAAACUUUCUUUGGAGAAGCUCAGGUUUCUAGAAGACCCAGAGACUUACUUGAGAAGGUCUGUGUUAAUUAACAAUUUGCUGAGGAAGAUACAUCUAGAGACGGAGAAAGAGAACUAUGAGUACUUUAAAGAAGCUCCCUGUUAUAAGACUGCUUAUUCUGAUACAAGAAAACGGCUGAAGUUUAUGGUACAAGAAUGCUGUUCUCAGUCUCUCUAUUAUGAGGAGCUGCAUUCGUAUCAUAUUGUGCCUUAUGCUUCGGAGAAUGCCAUUUAUGGAAUGGGUUACACUAGCAGCCACUUGGAGCAAAAUUCUCAGUUGCUUAUUUAUAAAAUGAAUUAAAGUAACUGUUA